GCGGAAGUGGCGGAAUUGGUAGACGCACCAGAUUUAGGUUCUGGCGCCGCAAGGUGUGAGAGUUCAAGUCUCUCUUUCCGCA
Molecule: transfer RNA, 82 nt
Filed under: Vibrio parahaemolyticus
Lineage: Bacteria; Pseudomonadati; Pseudomonadota; Gammaproteobacteria; Vibrionales; Vibrionaceae
Also listed under: 1 other name
Description: tRNA-Leu
Rfam family: tRNA
About the family: Transfer RNA (tRNA) molecules are approximately 80 nucleotides in length.
Source: RNAcentral